Molecule: unclassified non-coding RNA, 20 nt
Filed under: Mus musculus (house mouse)
Lineage: Eukaryota; Metazoa; Chordata; Mammalia; Rodentia; Muridae
Description: oocyte_clustered_small_RNA8948
Source: RNAcentral
UCCAGAUACAAGGGCAGCCA